UACGGGGGGGGCAAGCGUUGUUCGGAAUUACUGGGCGUAAAGGGCUCGUAGGUGGCCAACUACGUCAUACGUGAAAUCCCUCGGCUUAACCGGGGAACUGCGUCUGAUACUGGAUGGCUUGAGGUUGGGAGAGGGAUGCGGAAUUCCAGGUGUAGCGGUGAAAUGCGUAGAUAUCUGGAGGAACACCGGUGGCGAAGGCGGCAUCCUGGACCAAUUCUGACACUGAGGAGCGAAAGCCAGGGGAGCAAACGGG
This 253-nucleotide ribosomal RNA is filed under the name uncultured bacterium. Its description in RNAcentral is "partial 16S ribosomal RNA". It matches the Rfam family "Bacterial small subunit ribosomal RNA", at positions 524 to 776 of the family's 1533-position model. The record is from RNAcentral.